CCUACGGGGAGCAGCAGUCGAGAAUCAUUCACAAUGGGGGAAACCCUGAUGGUGCGACGCCGCGUGGGGGAAUGAAGGUCUUCGGAUUGUAAACCCCUGUCAUGUGGGAGCAAAUUAAAAAGAUAGUACCACAAGAGGAAGAGACGGCUAACUCUGUGCCAGCAGCCGCGGUAAUACAGUGGUCUCAAGCGUUGUUCGGAAUCACGGGGCGUAAAGCGUGCGUAGGCUGUUUCGUAAGUCGUGUGUGAAAGGCGCGGGCUCAACCCGCGGACGGCACAUGAUACUGAGAGACUAGAGUAAGGGAGGGGGAACCGGAAUUCUCGGUGUAGCAGUGAAAUGCGUAGAUAUCGAGAGGAACACUCGUGGCGAAGGCGGGUUCCUGGACAUUAACUGACGCUGAGGCACGAAGGCCAGGGGAGCGAAAGGGAUUAGAUACCCCAGUAGUC
RNAcentral lists this ribosomal RNA (446 nucleotides) under uncultured bacterium. Its description in RNAcentral is "partial 16S ribosomal RNA". It matches the Rfam family "Bacterial small subunit ribosomal RNA", at positions 338 to 795 of the family's 1533-position model. The record is from RNAcentral.